Molecule: long non-coding RNA, 595 nt
Filed under: Homo sapiens (human)
Lineage: Eukaryota; Metazoa; Chordata; Mammalia; Primates; Hominidae
Description: HSALNT0309251
Source: RNAcentral
GGAUAGUAAGGGCACCAACUAGCUAAAAAUGAGAAACAGUAAAUCAUCAUGGGGAACCAUCAACAUCUGGUAACUUACUUAAAUACUCAUGUGUAUUGGUCAUUGUCACAAAGGAUUAGAAAUCAGAAUCUCUAGUUGGAAGUUCAGGAUUUCUUACCUACCAGCUACGUAACUUUGACAAGUCAUUUGCAACAGCUGAUAUUGGGAUAAAUGGGAAAAGGGCAGUGUUGCUGCAAAGAUCAAGUAGAUAAAGUAUGAAAAGUGCUCUGACCUACACAGAUACAAAGUGAGCUUGUCGGCACUGGGGAGCUAAUCAGGAAAAGGACUGAUGGAAAGAGGAAGAGAGAACAUCUCUGUGGCAAAUCCCUCGUGACUGAGGACCGCAUAUCUGAUGAGUAAGCUUGGAUUUUGAAGACUUCAACAACUUGGCUGCAAGUUGAUGGGAGAAUUGACAUUCUAACCCAGCUCAGUUUGAAGCCUAUAGUCCACUCCACUCCACUCUACCAGCAAAGAACAUAGCCUUGCAAAACAGAGAACAGAAAACAGAAAUGCUUUUUCUUCACUCCCUGUUGGGAGGAUUCUGGAAUAGAGCUGU